GACGAACGCUGGCGGCGUGCUUAACACAUGCAAGUCGAACGGAAAGGCCCUGCUUUUGUGGGGUGCUCGAGUGGCGAACGGGUGAGUAACACGUGCGUAACCUGCCCUUGACUUUGGGAUAACUUCAGGAAACUGGGGCUAAUACCGGAUAGGAGCUCCUGCUGCAUGGUGGGGGUUGGAAAGUUUCGGCGGUUGGGGAUGGACUCGCGGCUUAUCAGCUUGUUGGUGGGGUAGUGGCUUACCAAGGCUUUGACGGGUAGCCGGCCUGCGAGGGUGACCGGCCACAUUGGGACUGAGAUACAGCUCAGACUCCUACGGGAGGCAGCAGUGGGGAAUAUUGCACAAUGGGCGGAAGCCUGAUGCAGCAACGCCGCGUGCGGGAGGACGGCCUUCGGGUUGUAAACCGCUUUCGCCUGUGACGAAGCGUGAGUGACGGUAAUGGGUAAAGAAGCACCGGCUAACUACGUG
This 468-nucleotide ribosomal RNA is filed under the name uncultured bacterium. Its description in RNAcentral is "partial 16S ribosomal RNA". It matches the Rfam family "Bacterial small subunit ribosomal RNA", at positions 28 to 507 of the family's 1533-position model. The record is from RNAcentral.